AAGUCGUAACAAGGUUUCCGUAGGUGAACCUGCGGAAGGAUCAUUACCGAAAUUUAAAAAACUCACAACGCGAGUCUCGUGCGGAAGCAAAUAUGACUGCCGAGACUUUGUGACUCUUCAAGUCUUCCUUUGCUCAAGUCAAACCACACUCGUGAAGCACAUGUGACGAGUCUGUGGUGAGCAUCGGGAGCACUGCGUUUCCUUCGGGAUUCACAGUCUAAAAAACGAAUUGUAAAAGUAAUAUAUCAAACGAAUUGUAAAAGUAUAUAUAUAAACAAAAAAAGACGAAAAAAUCAACCUCGAGUGGUGGAUCACUUGGCUCGUGG
Molecule: unclassified non-coding RNA, 326 nt
Filed under: fungal sp.
Lineage: Eukaryota; Fungi
Description: partial internal transcribed spacer region
Rfam family: Eukaryotic small subunit ribosomal RNA (bases 1-46)
Source: RNAcentral